RNAcentral lists this ribosomal RNA (253 nucleotides) under uncultured bacterium. RNAcentral's name for it is "partial 16S ribosomal RNA". It matches the Rfam family "Bacterial small subunit ribosomal RNA", at positions 524 to 776 of the family's 1533-position model. The record is from RNAcentral.
UACGAAGGGGGCUAGCGUUGCUCGGAAUCACUGGGCGUAAAGCGCACGUAGGCGGCUUGUUAAGUCAGGGGUGAAAUCCUGGAGCUCAACUCCAGAACUGCCUUUGAUACUGGCGAGCUUGAGUUCGGGAGAGGUGAGUGGAACUGCGAGUGUAGAGGUGAAAUUCGUAGAUAUUCGCAAGAACACCAGUGGCGAAGGCGGCUCACUGGCCCGAUACUGACGCUGAGGUGCGAAAGCGUGGGGAGCGAACCGG